UGGGGAAUAUUGGACAAUGGGCGCAAGCCUGAUCCAGCCAUGCCGCGUGAGUGAUGAAGGCCCUAGGGUUGUAAAGCUCUUUCACCGGUGAAGAUAAUGACGGUAACCGGAGAAGAAGCCCCGGCUAACUUCGUGCCAGCAGCCGCGGUAAUACGAAGGGGGCUAGCGUUGUUCGGAUUUACUGGGCGUAAAGCGCACGUAGGCGGACUUUUAAGUCAGGGGUGAAAUCCCGGGGCUCAACCCCGGAACUGCCUUUGAUACUGGAAGUUUUGAGUAUGGUAGAGGUGAGUGGAAUUCCGAGUGUAGAGGUGAAAUUCGUAGAUAUUCGGAGGAACACCAGUGGCGAAGGCGGCUCACUGGACCAUUACUGACGCUGAGGUGCGAAAGCGUGGGGAGCAAACAGG
Molecule: ribosomal RNA, 404 nt
Filed under: Pseudomonas sp.
Lineage: Bacteria; Pseudomonadati; Pseudomonadota; Gammaproteobacteria; Pseudomonadales; Pseudomonadaceae
Also listed under: 2 other names
Description: partial 16S ribosomal RNA
Rfam family: Bacterial small subunit ribosomal RNA
Source: RNAcentral